GAUUAACGCUGGCGGCGUGCCUAACACAUGCAAGUCGAACGAGGUAGCAAUACCUAGUGGCAGACGGGUGAGUAACGCGUGGUCAACCUACCGUUGAGUGGGGGAUAACUAGCCGAAAGGUUAGCUAAUACCGCAUACGUCUCCGAGGGGCAUCCCUUGGCGAUAAAAGGAAGCAAUCCGCUCGAUGACGGGACCGCGUCCCAUUAGCUAGAUGGUGGGGUAACGGCCUACCAUGGCACCGAUGGGUAGCUGGUUUGAGAGAGCGACCAGCCACACUGGGACUGAGAAACGGCCCAGACUCCUACGGGAGGCAGCAGUGAGGAAUUUUCCGCAAUGGGCGCAAGCCUGACGGAGCGACGCCGCGUGUGGGAAGAAGGCCUUCGGUCGUAAACCA
This 394-nucleotide ribosomal RNA is filed under the name uncultured bacterium. RNAcentral describes it as "bacterial SSU rRNA". It matches the Rfam family "Bacterial small subunit ribosomal RNA", at positions 28 to 432 of the family's 1533-position model. The record is from RNAcentral.